This 423-nucleotide ribosomal RNA is filed under the name uncultured archaeon. Its description in RNAcentral is "bacterial SSU rRNA". It matches the Rfam family "Archaeal small subunit ribosomal RNA", at positions 577 to 997 of the family's 1478-position model. The record is from RNAcentral.
GGAGAUACUAUAGACUUGAGACCGGGAGAGGUUAGAGGUACUCCCAGGGUAGAGGUGAAAUUCUGUAAUCCUGGGAGGACCGCCUGUUGCGAAGGCGUCUAACUGGAACGGUUCUGACGGUGAGGGACGAAGUUAGGGGCGCGAACCGGAUUAGAUACCCGGGUAGUCCUAACUGUAAACGAUGCGGACUUGGUGUUGGGGUGGCUUUGAGCUGCUUCAGUGCCGAAGGGAAGCUGUUAAGUCCGCCGCCUGGGAAGUACGGUCGCAAGACUGAAACUUAAGGAAUUGGCGGGGGAGCACCACAACGCGUGGAGCCUGCGGGUUUUAAAUGGAUUCAACGCCGGACAUCUCACCAGAGGCGACAGCUGUAUGAUAGCCAGGUUGAUGACUUUGCUUGACUAGCUGAGGAGUGGUGGUGCAUGG